UACAGAGGGUGCGAGCGUUAAUCGGAAUUACUGGGCGUAAAGCGUGCGUAGACGGUUACGUAAGUCGGGUGUGAAAGCCCCGGGCUCAACCUGGGAAUUGCAUUCGAGACUGCGAAGCUAGGGUGCGGAAGAGGGAAGCGGAAUUUCCGGUGUAGCGGUGAAAUGCGUAGAUAUCGGAAGGAACAUCAGUGGCGAAAGCGGCUUCCUGGUCCAGCACCGACGUUCAGGCACGAAAGCGUGGGGAGCAAACAGA
RNAcentral lists this ribosomal RNA (253 nucleotides) under uncultured bacterium. RNAcentral describes it as "partial 16S ribosomal RNA". It matches the Rfam family "Bacterial small subunit ribosomal RNA", at positions 524 to 776 of the family's 1533-position model. The record is from RNAcentral.